Molecule: ribosomal RNA, 1370 nt
Filed under: metagenome
Description: bacterial LSU rRNA
Rfam family: Bacterial large subunit ribosomal RNA
Source: RNAcentral
AAAAUCCGCUCUUUAAUCUGAAGACGUGAUGUGGACUGAAAAUAAGUAGGGAAGCACGUGAGCUGACUGUCAAGAAAAGCCGCUAUUGUUUGCAGGAUACCCGUACCGUAAACCGACACAGGUGGAUGAGGAGAGAAUCCUAAGGCCGACGGGAGAAGCAUUGUUAAGGAACUCGGCAAAAUGACUCCGUAACUUCGGGAGAAGGAGUGCCAGUAAGAUGGCCGCAGAGAAUUGGCCCAAGCAACUGUUUAGCAAAAACACAGGUCUAUGCAAAACCGAAAGGUGAGGUAUAUGGGCUGACGCCUGCCCGGCGCUGGAAGGUUAAGGGGAGAGGUUAGCGCAAGCGAAGCUUUGAACUUAAGCCCCAGUAAACGGCGGCCGUAACAAUAACGGUCCUAAGGUAGCGAAAUUCCUUGUCGGGUAAGUUCCGACCCGCACGAAAGGCGUAAUGAUUUGGGCACUGUCUCAACAAUGCACCCGGUGAAAUUGAAAUACCAGUGAAGAUGCUGGUUACCUGCGCCAGGACGGAAAGACCCCAUGGAGCUUUACUCCAGCUUGAUACUGGGAUUCGGUAUUGCAUGUACAGGAUAGGUGGGAGGCUAGGAAAUGGUAACGCCAGUUGCCAUGGAGCCAAUGUUGGGAUACCACCCUUGCAGUACUGGGUUUCUAACCAGCAGCCGUGAUCCGGCUGGGGGACAAUGUCAGGUGGGGAGUUUGACUGGGGCGGUCGCCUCCGAAAGGGUAUCGGAGGCGCUCAAAGGUUCCCUCAGAAUGGUUGGAAACCAUUCGAAGAGUGCAAAGGCAGAAGGGAGCUUGACUGCGACACCGACGGGUGGAGCAGGUACGAAAGUAGGACUUAGUGAUCCGGUGGUAUAAAGUGGGAUUGCCAUCGCUCAACGGAUAAAAGCUACCCUGGGAUAACAGGCUUAUCACUCCCAAGAGUUCACAUCGACGGAGUGGUUUGGCACCUCGAUGUCGGCUCAUCGCAUCCUGGGGCUGAAGUAGGUCCCAAGGGUUGGGCUGUUCGCCCAUUAAAGCGGUACGCGAGCUGGGUUCAGAACGUCGUGAGACAGUUCGGUCCCUAUCCGGCGUGGGCGUAAGAUAUUUGAGAGGAGCUGUCCUUAGUACGAGAGGACCGGGAUGGACUGGCCGCUGGUGUAUCUGUUGUCUUACCAAAGGCAUAGCAGAGUAGCCAAGCCGGGAAGGGAUAAACGCUGAAGGCAUCUAAGCGUGAAGCCCCCCUCAAGAUGAGAUAUCUCAUAACGUCAAGUUAGUAAGACCCCUUGAAGACGACGAGGUAGAUAGGGCAGAGGUGGAAGUGUGGUAACACAUGGAGCUGACUGUUACUAAUAGGUCGAGGGCAUAACCAA